RNAcentral lists this long non-coding RNA (477 nucleotides) under Mustela putorius furo (domestic ferret). Its description in RNAcentral is "lncRNA (ENSMPUG00000030358.1)". The record is from RNAcentral. Lineage: Eukaryota; Metazoa; Chordata; Mammalia; Carnivora; Mustelidae.
GUCCUAACUGGCCUGGGGCCUUUGGCUGGAUCUCUGAGGCCUAAUCUUCCAGAGUAGCCCUCUGGCCAUAUUUCUGCAGCUCCUUUAUAGAUGCAGAAUUACAAACCAUAUCAUCUACUGAAACUCUGAACAGUCUCAUUCAUUUUCAUACUACCUCUUCCCCAUCCAAGGCUAGAAAACAACCUGAAUAUAAAUACAGCACUGUGAGUACAAAGGAGACGCUUCAUUUAAAAACGGCUGUGGGGGAACAAUGGAUGGAAAGUUGGGUGUGACACCAAGUACAUAUUCUUCUAUCUAACUUACUCUAGAGUAAGAAGCGGAGGGCUCCAAGGACAGAACUGCAAGAUGUGUUGAGAAAAAGAAGUCAUCAGAGAUGGGAAAAAGUAGCCAGAGAAUUAUGAAGAGAAUCAACAAACGUUGGUGUCAUAAAAGCUAAAAAGUGGAGAAUUUCUAAGGAAAAAAAUGAUUAAUGACUUU